AUCCAACUGACGAAUCCCAAAUAGGACGAGAUACACUUUGUCCUGGAU
RNAcentral lists this non-coding RNA (48 nucleotides) under Schistosoma margrebowiei. Lineage: Eukaryota; Metazoa; Platyhelminthes; Trematoda; Strigeidida; Schistosomatidae. The record is from RNAcentral.